CGCUAUCACUCCUACGGGGAGCAGCAGUAGGGAAUCUUCCACAAUGGGCGCAAGCCUGAUGGAGCAACACCGCGUGAGUGAAGAAGGGUUUCGGCUCGUAAAGCUCUGUUGUUAAAGAAGAACACGUAUGAGAGUAACUGUUCAUACGUUGACGGUAUUUAACCAGAAAGUCACGGCUAACUACGUGCCAGCAGCCGCGGUAAUACGUAGGUGGCAAGCGUUAUCCGGAUUUAUUGGGCGUAAAGAGAGUGCAGGCGGUUUUCUAAGUCUGAUGUGAAAGCCUUCGGCUUAACCGGAGAAGUGCAUCGGAAACUGGAUAACUUGAGUGCAGAAGAGGGUAGUGGAACUCCAUGUGUAGCGGUGGAAUGCGUAGAUAUAUGGAAGAACACCAGUGGCGAAGGCGGCUACCUGGUCUGCAACUGACGCUGAGACUCGAAAGCAUGGGUAGCGAACAGGAUUAGAUACCCUGGUAG
Molecule: ribosomal RNA, 473 nt
Filed under: uncultured bacterium
Lineage: Bacteria
Description: bacterial SSU rRNA
Rfam family: Bacterial small subunit ribosomal RNA
Source: RNAcentral